GAUGAACGCUGGCGGCGUGCCUAAUACAUGCAAGUCGAGCGAACAGACGAGGAGCUUGCUCCUCUGACGUUAGCGGCGGACGGGUGAGUAACACGUGGAUAACCUACCUAUAAGACUGGGAUAACUUCGGGAAACCGGAGCUAAUACCGGAUAAUAUAUUGAACCGCAUGGUUCAAUAGUGAAAGACGGUUUUGCUGUCACUUAUAGAUGGAUCCGCGCCGCAUUAGCUAGUUGGUAAGGUAACGGCUUACCAAGGCGACGAUGCGUAGCCGACCUGAGAGGGUGACCGACCACACUGGAACUGAGACACGGUCCAGACUCCUACGGGAGGAAGCAGUAGGGAAUCUUCCGCAAUGGGCGAAAGCCUGACGGAGCAACGCCGCGUGAGUGAUGAAGGUCUUCGGAUCGUAAAACUCUGUUAUUAGGGAAGAACAAAUGUGUAAGUACCUAUGCACGUCUUGACGGUACCUAAUCAGAAAGCCACGGCUAACUACGUG
RNAcentral lists this ribosomal RNA (497 nucleotides) under uncultured bacterium. RNAcentral describes it as "partial 16S ribosomal RNA". It matches the Rfam family "Bacterial small subunit ribosomal RNA", at positions 28 to 507 of the family's 1533-position model. The record is from RNAcentral.